Molecule: long non-coding RNA, 1325 nt
Organism: Polistes canadensis
Lineage: Eukaryota; Metazoa; Arthropoda; Insecta; Hymenoptera; Vespidae
Exons: 3
Source: RefSeq, a predicted model, not a curated record
UGCGUGCAUGCGUGCGUAGUUACGUGCGCGCGUCCUCCCUUUUUUAUUCUUUUGUCCUCCUAAUUUCCUUUUCUUCGUUACAAUAAAAGUGGAUAUCUUACAUCAACAGUAGGAUUAUCGAUGCUUUUGGAUCUAGGGAGAAGGAUUUAACUGGGUGAUCGUACUUCCUUGCUUUUUUUCUCUCUCGGUGAAAGAAGAGUGAACCAAAGGAAAAGGUAAAGAGUGCAGGGGUGAUAUCGACGACACGAGCUACCGUCGCUGUUACAUUCUCAUCUCGAAGAGGUGACACGGUUUACUUUGAGGAUGUUCACCGACGAAAAAAAGUCUUUAUAAUACAACACGGUGGAAAUAGAGUGAAACAAUACAAAGAAAAAGAGAAAGAGUGAGAGAGAGAGAGAGUGUUAGAGGAAGAAAGUUAAACUUGAAGUAAGAGACGAAAAGAGAUAAAUUUAACAAAAAUUACGAUAGAAAAGAAAAACUGAGUGGUGUAGUACGUUUUCGGGGUACGUGCGCUAGCCGUGGCCGCGAGUGCAGCGGUGUGACGUGACAGUGUACCUGAAGCAGUGAUCGAGGAAGGUCGUGCGUCCUGCGUCUCUUUAAGAGCUUCCUCGAAAGGAUAUCUACGUUUGGGAUACGCGAGGAACCAUUCGCUAACGUAUAUUCGUUGUGUCCGAGGUCAAAAAAUCAAGUUAGUUCGUAUUUCUUCGUGUGUAUAUCUUAUGAAAACGAAAGGGAAAAGGAUCAUAGACGAUCCUGGACAAAGGCGAUGAUCGUCAUGUGUUCUCGAUCGCAGCCCUCAAUCGAGGGUUGAAAAAACGAACUCGUUAUUGCGAUAUUUUGUUCUUUUUAUUGUCGUGCGUGCGCGCGCGCGCCCACAACGGUGUGUCGGUCGUCGUGGGAAUCAAAAAGCGAGUUCGACGACAACUUUUUCUUUUCACGACAACGAGCUGGUCCCCCUCAGGAGGACCGACCGUGUAUCACGUCAUCGAGCUCAAAGAGAACUCGGAACCUCGCAAGAAUGCGGGACCGGCUAUCGUGGUACAUGGUCUUCUUGAUCCUGCCGACAAUUCUCCUGGCCAGGUCGCUCGACAAAGGUCUUUUCAUUUCAGAUCGGCGUAUACCUUACAACAUACCGUCAGACUGGCGAGCACUGUGGUUGAACAAUUUAGAUGAACUACAAAAAAUCAACGAUGCGAACGACAACAACACCGUAUCGAACGUCACAGUACAAUUGGGUGGCACGGCUUUCUUGCACUGCAAAGUUCGCAAUUUGGCAGACAGAACCGUCUCGGAUGCCGAGGUAAGGAAGUUAUUUCGUGUAGUUA